This 477-nucleotide ribosomal RNA is filed under the name Triticum aestivum (bread wheat). RNAcentral's name for it is "partial small subunit ribosomal RNA". Lineage: Eukaryota; Viridiplantae; Streptophyta; Magnoliopsida; Poales; Poaceae. The record is from RNAcentral.
AUGAAGCACUACGCUGACAAAAGAAGAAAAGAAAGAGAAUUUUCUAUAGGUGACAUGGUGUACUUGAAGUUGCAGCCUUACAGACACACAUCCCUCAGCUUGCACAGACAGCUUAAGCUGCAUUCCAAGUUUUAUGGGCCUUUCCGAGUUCUCCAAAGAAUUGGCAAGGUCCCUUACCAACUACUUCUACCUGAAGGUUGCCAGCUGCAUCACACAUUUCAUGUGAGCCAGCUCAAGAAGCACAUUGGCCCUCAAGUCUUCAUCCCUUCCAAGCAUUUGCCCCUGGUAGGACCUGAUGGACUUAUUCAGAUGGAGCCUGAAGCAGCAUUGGAAAGGAAACUUAUUCCACGACCUCAAGGUAACAUCAGUAUCCAGGUGGUGCGGUGGCUAGUCAAAUGGGUUAACCUGCCCCUUGAAGCUGCCACUUGGGAGGACUCGGCUUCCAUUCAGAAGGUUUUCCCAUCAUUCCAAGCUUGA